This 429-nucleotide ribosomal RNA is filed under the name uncultured bacterium. Its description in RNAcentral is "bacterial SSU rRNA". It matches the Rfam family "Bacterial small subunit ribosomal RNA", at positions 917 to 1345 of the family's 1533-position model. The record is from RNAcentral.
GGACCCGCACAAGUAGUGGAGCAUGUGGUUUAAUUCGAAGAUACGCGCAGAACCUUACCAACACUUGACAUGUUCGUCGCGACUUUAAGAGAUUAAAGUUUUCGGUUCGGCCGGACGAAACACAGGUGCUGCAUGGCUGUCGUCAGCUCGUGUCGUGAGAUGUUGGGUUAAGUCCCGCAACGAGCGCAACCCUCACUUUUAGUGCCAUCAUUAAGUUGGGCACUCUGAAAGAACUGCCAGUGAUAAGCUGGAGGAAGGUGGGGAUGACGUCAAGUCCUCAUGGCCCUUACGUGUUGGGCUACACACGUGCUACAAUGGUAUCUACAACAGGAAGCAAAACGGCGACGUUAAGCAAAUCCUUAAAAGAUACCUCAGUUCGGAUUGUACUCUGCAACUCGAGUACAUGAAGCUGGAAUUACUAGUAAUCGU